Molecule: ribosomal RNA, 492 nt
Filed under: uncultured bacterium
Lineage: Bacteria
Description: partial 16S ribosomal RNA
Rfam family: Bacterial small subunit ribosomal RNA
Source: RNAcentral
AGUGAACGCUGGCGGUAGGCCUAACACAUGCAAGUCGAACGGCAGCACAGUAAGAGCUUGCUCUUACGGGUGGCGAGUGGCGGACGGGUGAGGAAUACAUCGGAAUCUACUUUUUCGUGGGGGAUAACGUAGGGAAACUUACGCUAAUACCGCAUACGACCUACGGGUGAAAGCAGGGGAUCUUCGGACCUUGCGCGAUUGAAUGAGCCGAUGUCGGAUUAGCUAGUUGGCGGGGUAAAGGCCCACCAAGGCGGCGAUCCGUAGCUGGUCUGAGAGGAUGAUCAGCCACACUGGAACUGAGACACGGUCCAGACUCCUACGGGAGGCAGCAGUGGGGAAUAUUGGACAAUGGGCGCAAGCCUGAUCCAGCCAUACCGCGUGGGUGAAGAAGGCCUUCGGGUUGUAAAGCCCUUUUGUUGGGAAAGAAAAGCAGCAGGUUAAUACCCCGCUGUUCUGACGGUACCCAAAGAAUAAGCACCGGCUGACUUCGUG